UACGUAGGGGGCAAGCGUUGUCCGGAAUCAUUGGGCGUAAAGAGCGUGUAGGCGGCCCGGUAAGUCCGCUGUGAAAGUCCAGGGCUCAACCCUGGGAUGCCGGUGGAUACUGUCGGGCUCGAGUCCGGAAGAGGAGUGUGGAAUUCCUGGUGUAGCGGUGAAAUGCGCAGAUAUCAGGAGGAACACCGGUGGCGAAGGCGGAUCUCUGGGCCGUAACUGACGCUGAGGAGCGAAAGCAUGGGGAGCGAACAGG
RNAcentral lists this ribosomal RNA (253 nucleotides) under uncultured bacterium. RNAcentral's name for it is "partial 16S ribosomal RNA". It matches the Rfam family "Bacterial small subunit ribosomal RNA", at positions 524 to 776 of the family's 1533-position model. The record is from RNAcentral.